GAUACUCCUCUCAAGUUGAUCUCCCCUACCCUCUAUGUUUGCAGCUUAAUAAAAAAUAGAUCAGUGCCGGAUUUCUUCAAGUCGAGAACCAUUUUAUGGAAACUCAAAUCUCCGGCAAUCAAAAGAGGUAUGCUCAUAGCUCAACCACUUGCUCUCCUUACUAGGUGCGGUUACAUUCAAUAGCGAAGAGGACAAAAUUGUCUGGAGAUAUCAGAUUGUGAAGGUACUUUUUCAUCAUCGUCCCUUUUUCUAUUUACUAACUCUAGAGGAGUAACAUGUAGGUUCGCGUCUUCUCUUUGGAACCUCUGUAAACCCCUAAAGAUGAAAAGCAUCCUUGGGCUCUGCUACAAGAGAGAGCUCAAUACAAGAGACGCCCUUGGCAAGAAGCUUGGAAAGAAUAGUGGUGGAUGUGUUCUUUGUCAACAAGCAGUGGACUUUGUAUCUCUCCUCUCCCUCUCCCUUGUAUCUCUCUCCUAAAACUUUUGUAAUUUCUCCUGAUCUUUGAUUUUUAAUAAAAG
This 518-nucleotide long non-coding RNA is filed under the name Phoenix dactylifera (date palm). RNAcentral describes it as "long non-coding RNA (PDAC_LNC002208)". Lineage: Eukaryota; Viridiplantae; Streptophyta; Magnoliopsida; Arecales; Arecaceae. The record is from RNAcentral.